Molecule: ribosomal RNA, 253 nt
Filed under: uncultured bacterium
Lineage: Bacteria
Description: partial 16S ribosomal RNA
Rfam family: Bacterial small subunit ribosomal RNA
Source: RNAcentral
UACGUAGGGGGCAAGCGUUGUCCGGAAUUACUGGGCGUAAAGGGUGCGUAGGCGGUUGCUCAAGUCAGAUGUGAAAUACCCGGGCUUAACCUGGGGGGUGCAUUUGAAACUGGGUGAGUAGAGUGCAGGAGAGGAAAGCGGAAUUCCUGGUGUAGCGGUGGAAUGCGUAGAUAUCAGGAGGAACACCGGUGGCGAAGGCGGCUUUCUGGACUGUAACUGACGCUGAGGCACGAAAGCGUGGGGAGCAAACAGG